RNAcentral lists this transfer RNA (74 nucleotides) under Pseudomonadota bacterium. RNAcentral's name for it is "tRNA-Thr". It matches the Rfam family "tRNA". From Rfam's summary of the family: Transfer RNA (tRNA) molecules are approximately 80 nucleotides in length. Their secondary structure includes four short double-helical elements and three loops (D, anti-codon, and T loops). Further hydrogen bonds mediate the characteristic L-shaped molecular structure. tRNAs have two regions of fundamental functional importance: the anti-codon, which is responsible for specific mRNA codon recognition, and the 3' end, to which the tRNAs corresponding amino acid is attached (by aminoacyl-tRNA synthetases). tRNAs cope with the degeneracy of the genetic code in two manners: having more than one tRNA (with a specific anti-codon) for a particular amino acid; and 'wobble' base-pairing, i.e. permitting non-standard base-pairing at the 3rd anti-codon position. Lineage: Bacteria; Pseudomonadati; Pseudomonadota. The record is from RNAcentral.
GCCUGGGUAGCUCAGUGGUAGAGCGUUUCCUUGGUAAGGAAAAGGUCGGCAGUUCAACUCUGCUCUCAGGCUCC